Molecule: ribosomal RNA, 483 nt
Filed under: uncultured bacterium
Lineage: Bacteria
Description: partial 16S ribosomal RNA
Rfam family: Bacterial small subunit ribosomal RNA
Source: RNAcentral
AUUGAACGCUGGCGGCAGGCCUAACACAUGCAAGUCGAGCGGAUGAAGGGAGCUUGCUCCUGGAUUCAGCGGCGGACGGGUGAGUAAUGCCUAGGAAUCUGCCUGGUAGUGGUUGAUAACGUCCUGAAACGGGCGCUAAUACCGCAUACGUCCUGAGGGAGAAAGUGGGGGAUCUUCGGACCUCACGCUAUCAGAUGAGCCUAGGUCGGAUUAACUAGUUGGUGGGGUAAGGCCUACCAAGGCGACGAUCCGUAACUGGGCUGAGAGGAUGAUCAGUCACACUGGAACUGAGACACGGUCCAGACUCCUACGGGAGGCAGCAGUGGGGAAUAUUGGACAAUGGGCGAAAGCCUGAUCCAGCCAUGCCGCGUGUGUGAAGAAGGUCUUCGGAUUGUAAAGCACUUUUAGUUGGGAGGAAGGGCAGUAAGUUAAUACCUUGCUGUUUUGACGUUACCAAAAGAAUAAGCACCGGCUAACUUCGUG